CGGGAAGCGGCUGACAGAAGACUGUCGCUGUCACUGCUGGUGCACUGGGUUUAGCCAGCCUGGCCCCCGAGCCCUGGCGGGUGGAGCCUCGAGCUCGAGCUCGGUCCCCUGGGGUCUGAGGCCCACAUUCCUCCGAGGUCUGCAAAGGCCUCCGCGUAGAGGCGCAGAGGAGCAGCUGGGAACGAGAACAAAGCGGCCAGGCCCCCCUCGGAGGAAGGAAGGAGUGAGCCCCAGGAAACAGCUGAUAACGCUAAGCUCAGCUUGUUUUUUUCCUCUGCUCAACAGUUCUCCUGCCACGGCAAACAAAAGAUGUACAUUCUGAUUCCCUCUUCUGUUUGGAUUGUGCUGUCGACUGGGUCUGGUUUGUGAUGAGCUGGGGGAAGAGGCAGCCGCGGGCGGUUUCUGGCCCCGCUGGCUGGCCAGUGCGCUGGGAAUGGCAGAGCUGCCUCUCCCUAAGCCGGUCCGGCGUCACCAGGGGCCCCGGCAUGGGCAUUUCUUUUAAUGAUGGAAUUUGAAGUUCCAAGUUUUCAGAUUUAGUAAGAGCUGAAGGUUUACCUGUGACCCUGACCUUAAAGGACCUGUGCACCUGCACUGGACGCACCUUUUUCGUGGACUGUAAAAUUGUCAAGGCUGGGACCAAUGGCUACAUGGCUCCUGAAAUCCCCAUGCAGAAGGUGGCUAUUCCUACCCUGCGGACUGGUUUGCGAUGGGAUGCAGCAUUUAUGAGAUGGUGCUGGACGGACACCAUUCAGAGAUUACAAGGAAAAGGUCAGUAGAGAGGAUCUAAAGCACAGACCUCUGAAAGAGGAGGCCAUGUUCCAACGUGAGAGCUUCACAGAGGACGCGAAAGACAUCUGCAGACUCUUCUUAGAAAAGAAAGCACAGCAACGCUUAGGAAGCAGAAAAGACUCUGACGAUCCCAGGAAACACCCUUUCUUCAAAACCAUCAACUUUCCCCGACUGGAAGCUGGCCUAGUUGAGCCUCCAUUUGUACCAGACCCUUCUGUGGUUUACACCAAAGAUAUUGAUGAAAUCGAUGAUUUCUCUGAGGGGCGGGGGGUGGAAUUGGAUGACACAGAUGAGAAGUUCUUCAGCAGAUUUGCAACAGGUGCUGUCCCCAACGCGUGGCAGGAAGAAAUCCUAGAGUCAGGGCUGUUUGAGGAACUGAAUGAUCCCAACCAGCCAGCAGGUUACGGGAAGGGUAAUUCAUCUAAGUCUGGAGUGUGCUUGUUAUUGUGAAUGGUCCCCCUACCAGCCCAAGUCUCAGCUGACGUGGUCGGCAAAUGUUUCCAGCAGUGCUGAAGGAAGCUGUGAAUUUAGAGGAGACAUCUCAGCCACAGAACAGCCACAAGGGCGGGUGGGAGGCCUGGUCACUAACGCGUUUUCUUUUUAUUUUCUUUCUUCCUUUAUUUUUCCCUCAUAAAAUUUAGUAAAGUCUCAGUUUUCAGCAAGGGCUGGGAAAAGGAACAGGCAGGUUUAUUUUGAUAAACUGAAAGCAUGAGCCCUCCACCAUCGUGUCUCGGAAUUACACAAAGUCCUAGGAAAGGAGGGUGGAACUCGGUGGUGUACCUGGAAAGUGAGCGUUUGCAGCUCUUAGUAAAUAAUCAUUUUAGUUUAGUUUUUCAUCUUUGUAUUUUUCUUCUCUUCGUCUUUCAGUAUUUCUUCUCUUUCUGUACUUACAGAAGGAUUUUGAAGCUAGAAAUUCCCGAUGUUCCCCCCUUAAAAGGAGUGGUUUGUAAUACUUUGGUAAUAUUUCAGAUUACAGAGUAAUUUUCAGUUUCACUGACAGUUUCUUUUUCAUUUUGGGGAGGGAAAUAAUGUAUCAUCAUAUUGCUGAAACUUUUUUUUUUUGGCAAUACUGGGGACUGAACCUAGGGUCUUUGCACAGGGGAAUAGCCCCAGCCCUUUUGUAUUUUUUAUUUUGAAAUAGGGCCUCACUAAGUCACUAAAUUGUCCUGACUGGGCUUUAACUUGCAAUCCUCCUGCCAGCCUCCCAGAAGGCUGGGAUUAUAGGUGUGCACCACCACACCCAGCUGUUGAAGCAUUAUAAAUACAAAUAUACAUGAAAUCUAUGAUUAUAGUAGAGUAUUCUAUAAAUUUGGUUGGGUAUUUUAAGUAAUAUGCUAUAAAUUGCUUAUAUGUGCAAUUACAUCUGCCAUCUGCCAUCAGAUCCUAAAUGCUGCUGAAAUUUGGGAUCACUUAGGGAUCUUUCAGUAAAUAGGGAAGGAAGGAGGAGGUGAAGGGAGGGCGGGGGUGCAGGGGAAAAAUGAGAAUCAAGACCUGUCAUGUAGAGGUAAAAGAUCCCAAUGAUGAAUGUAACGGUACUGUAUACCUAAAAUGUACCGGUAAACUCAAUGAGGGAAUAAAUUUUUUUAAAAAAAAAGAAGAAGCAGAGCUUGAGAUGUCAAAGGAAAAAAAAAGUACUAAUGGCUGGGCUGGGGAUUUAGCUCAGUGGUGGCACCACCUGCCUCAAAAGCGCAAGGUCCUGAGUUCGAUCCCUGGUACCUUAAAAAAAGAACUCAUGCCUGACUCCUACCCCCACAUAUACUGAUCCAUACCCCACAUAUGGGGUAAAUUGGUUAUUUAGAGUUGCCAGAGCUCCCCAGGUGAUUCAGAGUGAAUCACCAGAGUGAUUCAGAGAUCCCUUGCCUGACUCCUACCCCCACAUAUACUGAUCCAUACCCCACAUAUGGGGUAAAUUGGUUAUUUACAGUUGCCAGAGCUCCCCAGGUGAUUCUAACGUACAGCGAAGUUUGGUAGGUACCACCCUAUAUAUUUACAUCUUAUUACAUAUAGGUCUUGUGUUAGUCAGCUUUGCCGUGCUGUGAUGAAAUACUUGAGAUAAUCAGUUUAAGAAGAGAAAGUGCUACCCAUGUUUAUAGCAGCACAGUUUACAAUAGGUAAAUAUUGGAAAUAGCCCAAAUGCCCAUCAACUGACAAAUGAACAAAGACGUGGUUUUUUUACACAACAGAUUACUAUUCUGCCACAAAGAAAGAUGAAUCUAAACCGGGUAUGGUGGCACACACCUGUAAUCCCAGCACUCAGGAGGCUGAGGCAGGAAGAUCGCUGUGAGUUUGAGACCAGCCUGGGCUACAUACUGAGUUCUAGGUCAGUGUCAACUACAUAGUGAGACCCUGUCUCAAAAAACCAAAGACCAAAAACAACAAUAACAAAAAAGAAAGAUGAGCUUCAGACAUUUAUAGCUACAUGGAUGGACCUUGAGACCAUACUCUUAAGUGAAAUAAACUGGACACACGUGUUUAAAUACUGCAUUGUUUCUCUGGUGUGAACCAAAAAUGAAAAUGAUGACUAAAACGUAUAAAAGACAUUGGGAAAUGAGAAGAAAAUGUUCAAAUGGGAAGAGGAACAAGGGAGAAGGAUGAGAGAAAGGAAAGAAGGGACAAGAAGAAAGAGAAAAUAGAAGGAAAACAUGGAAACAAAGCUUUUGUACAUAGGAAGAGGAAGGGCUGGAGGGGAGGGGAUAGGAAAAGAGAGGUAAGAUGGUUCAUGUACGGUACAAAUUCUCUAUGACGAGUGGCACCAUUAUGUAUGCCUAAAAUGCACCAAGAAAUGUUUUGCUAUUUUAAAAAUAAAUCCAUAGAAAAGCUUUUAAAGGAGAGAGAGAGAGAAGAGGUGUUUAUUUUGGCUCACAGUUUUGGAGGUUUUGUCCUUGGCUGGUUGGCUCCACUGUUUCUGGGCUUGGGGGGCGGCAGUACGUUGCAGUGGGAUUUUGCAUAGCACAGGAAGCUCCUUGCCUCACGGCCCCUGGGAAGCAAAAGGGGAGGAAGAGGAGGGACCUGGGUCUCCAAAUCCCUUCUGGAGCGUGCCCCCAGUGACCUCAUUUUCUUUCUCCAGGCCCCACCUCCUAAACGUUCCACUGCCUCCCAGUGUUGCCACAACCCAAGGACCAAGCUUUCAAUAUACUGGCUUUUAGAGGAC
RNAcentral lists this long non-coding RNA (3940 nucleotides) under Fukomys damarensis (Damara mole-rat). Its description in RNAcentral is "lncRNA (ENSFDAG00000030997.1)". The record is from RNAcentral. Lineage: Eukaryota; Metazoa; Chordata; Mammalia; Rodentia; Bathyergidae.